ACCCCCAGCCAUGUUCUUAAAAUAGCUCACAAAGCCCUACAUUAUCUUGCCUGCUAUGACUCUCUGCCAUCAUCUUUUCUACUCUCCAUCUUGCUCACUUUAUUCCAGUCACAUUGGCCUCCUCUCUGUUCCUCAGACUGCCAGGCAGCUUCUGCCUCAAGGCCUUUGCAAUAGCUAUUCUCUCUUCCUGAAACAUUCUACCUCCAGAUAUCCAUGUGACACAGUGUCUCACUUCAAGUGUUUGCCUACAUGUCACCUUUUGUAGCAGAUGCGAUCAUGCCUUGACCACAAUCCCUUACAUUUGCCAUGUCUGCUAAAGGUUUCCUACUGAAAGCAUCUACAAUUUUCUAUAAGAAGGUUUUCUAAACAUGAGUGCUCACUUGCUUCAGGGUAGGCCCAAAUAUCAGGAAGUUAACACCGUUAGGAGCACCCUUCAACUACUAACCCUUGCUUAGGAGUCAAUGGAGGAGUCCCCCUACCUCCUAUCCCCUUGGGUGGGCCAACUCUGAGGCAUUUCUCCAGUAUUUCCCAGGACUUUACAGUAUAAAUCCAAACUCACACACAAAUAGAGCCAAAGGGAAAAAAAUAGUUGAUAUAUUGUUAGUAGGAUUGUCAAGGAAAUAACAUCUUAAAAUACUUAAAAAUAGUCAUUUUAAAAUGUUAAAUAUCAUUAAUAAUAUAUUUCAUAAUCAUACAAUGAAAAGGAUAAGGUUGACAGAGUAUGGCACCCAAGGUUUCUUUCUAAAGGUCUGAUGUUCAAGGUGACAUGAAUUCUGGAGAGAUUUCCCUCUGUUCUACUAUCUAAAACUCUCGAGAUAUUAAGGUGGGACAUGAAUUCUGGAGAGCCCCUCUCUGUUCCACUGUCUUUAAUCUAAAGGGCUCAGAUAACUCUGUUGCUAUUUCUUCCAUCAUCAAAUGGAGGUUCCAACCCACCAGCUGGACCUAGAGAGUAUUACUGUGAACUUGACUUGUAGUCAUUGUACCAUAAUUUUCUGAAGCAUUACAAAAUUGGGGUAGAGCAUGGGCUUUGGGACAAAGACAUUGGAGUUUAGAUAGGGACUCUAUAUCUUACAUGGGACCUUGGGUGAGUUGUCCAAAUUCUCUGCCUAAUUUCUGGUAAAAAAAUCAUGGGGCUGGGCAAUGGUGGUGCACACCUGGGAUCCUAGCAGCUUGGGGGCGCUGGGGUUGUGGCUCAGUGGUAGAGCGCUU
RNAcentral lists this long non-coding RNA (1209 nucleotides) under Marmota monax (woodchuck). The record is from RNAcentral. Lineage: Eukaryota; Metazoa; Chordata; Mammalia; Rodentia; Sciuridae.